CCUACGGGUGACAGCAGUGAGGAAUAUUGGUCAAUGGGCUUACGCCUGAACCAGCCAAGUCGCGUGAGGGAAGACGGUCCUAUGGAUUGUAAACCUCUUUUGUCGGGGAGCAAAAGACGCCACGCGUGGCGUUCCGAGAGUACCCGAAGAAAAAGCAUCGGCUAACUCCGUGCCAGCAGCCGCGGUAAUACGGAGGAUGCGAGCGUUAUCCGGAUUUAUUGGGGUAAAGGGGUGCGCAGGCGGAAGAUCAAGUCAGCGGUAAAAUUGAGAGGCUCAACCUCUUCGAGCCGUUGAAACUGGUUUUCUGGAGUGAGUGAGAAGUAUGCGGAAUGCGUGGUGUAGCGGUGAAAUGCAUAGAUAUCACGCAGAACUCCGAUUGCGAAGGCAGCAUACCGGCGCUCAACUGACGCUCAUGCACGAAAGUGUGGGUAUCGAACAGGAUUAGAUACCCCAGUAGUC
Molecule: ribosomal RNA, 459 nt
Filed under: uncultured bacterium
Lineage: Bacteria
Description: partial 16S ribosomal RNA
Rfam family: Bacterial small subunit ribosomal RNA
Source: RNAcentral